RNAcentral lists this ribosomal RNA (253 nucleotides) under uncultured bacterium. RNAcentral describes it as "partial 16S ribosomal RNA". It matches the Rfam family "Bacterial small subunit ribosomal RNA", at positions 524 to 776 of the family's 1533-position model. The record is from RNAcentral.
UACGGGGGGGGCAAGCGUUGUUCGGAAUUACUGGGCGUAAAGGGCUCGUAGGUGGCCAACUAAGUCGGACGUGAAAUCCCUCGGCUUAACCGGGGAACUGCGUCCGAUACUGGUUGGCUUGAGUUUGGGAGAGGGAUGCGGAAUUCCAGGUGUAGCGGUGAAAUGCGUAGAUAUCGGAAGGAACACCGGUGGCGAAAGCGGCGCGCUGGACCUCUUCUGACGCUGAGGCGCGAAAGCCAGGGGAGCAAACGGG